Felis catus (domestic cat) is the source of this 1879-nucleotide long non-coding RNA. RefSeq lists it as uncharacterized. The transcript is spliced from 2 exons. The record is from RefSeq and is a predicted model, not a curated record. NCBI's taxonomy places the organism in Eukaryota, Metazoa, Chordata, Mammalia, Carnivora, Felidae.
GGUGGGCUAUGUGACUUCUCCCUGCCUCAUAUGCACAACAACCAGGGGACUGAAACAGUGGUUAUGGAAGAUCCUUUUUCUUCCUAAACUGUAGAGAUGCGCGGUUUUCCAGAAGUCCCUGCAUCUUCUGGCUAAACAGUCCGCCUCCAAUUACAAAACAGCAAGGCCCUGGGGUGACGGGCGCAACAGAGGGAAAACUAGCCUCGACCCUCGGUGCUGUUUUCCAACCCCCACACUCCGCAGCGACCCGUGCCCGGCUGUCAUCCCAGAAUCAAUUUCUGCUGCCGAGACAACCUGAUGGAGUCUACGGGGAAAAGUGGAAGAAAGUUCUUGUUCCUGCGGAUCGGUGCAAGCGAAGAACGCUAACGACGGGAUGAUCUGGAGUUGGCUCUCCAUCCAUCCCCCUGCGCUAGUGGAAGGAGAAAUUACUGAAGGAAACCGCUCUAGGAAUGCCCGAGAAGAACUCUCCUCUCGGGAUGUACGAAAACCGCACGAUACCAGACGCCAGCGAGUUUCUUUUCUUUCUUUCUUUUUUUUUUUUUCCUUGAAACUUCACGUCGCGCUCAGAAAAUGCAGCAGGUCCCAAAAUGGAUUUCAGAAACUGCUCUUAGCAGAGGAAAAGGUUACUGGCUGUGGCAGACCCCCUUCUGGUGAAAUCUGAAACUCACAAGCCUCCCAGAAUUUGGGAUUUUGCUCUUAACCCAACGGUCAGGACAUUGUGGGGGUUUCUUUAAAAGUCUGAAGAGGCUUCGCAAAGUUUGAAAACCAAAGUAAAUAUCUGUCCGGUCAGGCCGGGAGUAGGCGGCCAGUAGGAGCGAUUCACUGUGGUUUCCCACAGAAAUGCCACAUUUGGGGGUUUCUACCUGGAGGAUACAGCUUGGUGGUUUUGCUGUGAGCGGUUCAAAUUCCUUUGAAACCCAACCAGACUUUGAAGAGGGAACAACAUGCCCGUGAGUGAAAACGGAAGCUUGAAAUGAACCUGUUGGGAACCGAAAGUUGGGUAUCCACCCCUCUACUCCACGUCAGGACCAGACAUCAGCUUUAGACCCAAGUUGAUCUUGGGUCUAAAGAGUUUUCUGGCCUUUCUAAAGCCUCUGGGCUUGGCAGCAGGACUCCAGGGUCCUGCCCCAGGCCCUUUGCAGCUGCUGUUGCCUCUGCCUGGGAGCAUCUCCACUUGGCUGUUCUUGGCACUCAGCACACAGCUCAGAAGUCAGCUCCUCAAAGGGGGCUUUCCCCAGCCAUUUGAUCUACUUGUGUCGGGCACCUACUUCCACCCCUGUCUCUCCUGCACAUCACACGCCCUGUUCCACGGCUUCAUAGCCCCUAUCACUACUUAAUUUAUCCUGGUUGGCUGCUUAUUUAUCUGUCUCCCCCUGCGUGGGUGUGCUCCAUCAGAGCAGGCUGCUGCCUGUCUCCGUCAGUCCUGUAUGCUCACGCCAAGAAGAGUGCUGGCCCGUAGGAGACCCUCAACAAAGGCAUGUCAAACGAAUGAAAGGGGCAAACAAGAUUAGGGUGACCGGCUCAUUCUGUCCCUUGGUUCCCUGUGUCUUCCGCUUUGGCGGAGAGGCUCUCAGAUGAGAAAGCCCAGUGUAAUGGGAACUCUAUUAAUGGUCCUGGAAAGUUAACACUCUAAGUAAUUAAGACUGUCAGAUGACGUCACUGCAGUCUCGUUGGUACAGUCCCAGUUAAUUGCUCCCUCCUUUGCGCUCCCCCCAGCACUUCUGUUCAUUUAAGGAACAUAUUUAUCACAUUAUAUGCUUGCUCAGUGAGCGCUCUCCUAAAUCGGAUGGCAAGCUCUUUGACGUGGAAGGAAGGGAAAGGGGCCUACAUUGAUUGACAAGGUGAAUUCGAAUUCAUUAAAAGACAUUGGUUAAGUGCC